This 381-nucleotide ribosomal RNA is filed under the name uncultured eukaryote. RNAcentral describes it as "partial 18S ribosomal RNA". It matches the Rfam family "Eukaryotic small subunit ribosomal RNA", at positions 592 to 976 of the family's 1831-position model. The record is from RNAcentral.
CAAUAGCGUAUAUUAAAGUUGCUGCAGUUAAAAAGCUCGUAGCUGAACCUUGGGUCUGGUCGACCGGUCCGCCUAACGGUGUGCACUGGAUUCGACCGGGCCUUUCCUUCUGGCUAGCCUGUAUGCCCUUUACCGGGUGUGCAGGGGAACCAGGACUUUUACUUUGAAAAAAUUAGAGUGUUCAAAGCAGGCUUAUGCCGUUGAAUAUAUUAGCAUGGAAUAAUGAGAUAGGACUUUUUUGCUAUUUUGUUGGUUUGCGCAAAGAGGUAAUGAUUAAUAGGGACAGUUGGGGGUAUUCGUAUUCCAUUGUCAGAGGUGAAAUUCUUGGAUUUUUGGAAGACGAACUACUGCGAAAGCAUUUACCAAGGAUGUUUUCAUUAA